GGUUGUCGUCCCCUCCUGCUGAGCAAGGUAAGAAUUGGUAAGAGCUUGUGAAACAGGUUGAAAGUGAGUGCCUUGCAGUAGCUACAUCCUAAUAGCUGUAGGACUUUUAUUUCUUCACCUAUUUUCUUGUUUCCACUAUUCUUUUAACCCUGAUAGGUUCUGAGGAUGUUGACAGUAUGCAACAUUCACCUCACACCAAGGACAUCAUACCACAUUUUGAAAGGCAGGUGAAGCUGUAGACAAA
This 244-nucleotide long non-coding RNA is filed under the name Setaria italica (foxtail millet). Its description in RNAcentral is "long non-coding RNA (SITA_LNC000332)". The record is from RNAcentral. Lineage: Eukaryota; Viridiplantae; Streptophyta; Magnoliopsida; Poales; Poaceae.